This 253-nucleotide ribosomal RNA is filed under the name uncultured bacterium. RNAcentral's name for it is "partial 16S ribosomal RNA". It matches the Rfam family "Bacterial small subunit ribosomal RNA", at positions 524 to 776 of the family's 1533-position model. The record is from RNAcentral.
UACGAAGGGGGCUAGCGUUGUUCGGAAUCACUGGGCGUAAAGCGCACGUAGGCGGAUCGUUAAGUCAGAGGUGAAAUCCCGGAGCUCAACUUCGGAACUGCCUUUGAUACUGGCGAUCUCGAGUCUGGAAGAGGUUAGUGGAACUGCGAGUGUAGAGGUGAAAUUCGUAGAUAUUCGCAAGAACACCAGUGGCGAAGGCGGCUAACUGGUCCAGUACUGACGCUGAGGUGCGAAAGCGUGGGGAGCAAACAGG